UACGGAGGGUGCAAGCGUUAUCCGGAUUUAUUGGGUUUAAAGGGUGCGUAGGCGGAUAUGUAAGUCAGCGGUGAAACUCACAGGCUCAACCUGUGCCGUGCCGUUGAAACUGUGUAUCUGGAAUGCGGAUGCUGUGGGAGGAAUGUGUAGUGUAGCGGUGAAAUGCAUAGAUAUUACACAGAACACCGAUUGCGAAGGCAUCUCACAAAGCCGUUAUUGACGCUGAGGCACGAAAGUGUGGGGAUCAAACA
RNAcentral lists this ribosomal RNA (251 nucleotides) under uncultured prokaryote. RNAcentral describes it as "partial 16S ribosomal RNA". It matches the Rfam family "Bacterial small subunit ribosomal RNA", at positions 524 to 774 of the family's 1533-position model. The record is from RNAcentral.